UAAAAAUCGAUCUCUUUCAUCUCUUUCAAGAAAAUACUGAAAGGAGUUCAACUUUCAUAUACUUAAGGUAAGGAGAGAGUAGAGCAAAUUAUAGUCCCAAAGCUUCUGUUCUCCUCCUCUGUAAUAACCAUUGAAAAAGGGAACAGCUGGAAUUUUUAAGGGACAUCUUUUUUCCCAGUGUUGAAUUUUGUAAAAUGAAGCAAUUAAGUGAGUUGGUUAAUUCUAACUCCUUAAAAAUUUGUGAUUAGUUAUCCAUUUUCUAAUAUGCAAAAUAUCUAAUACUUUGUCUAUCUAUACACAGAAGUAAAGAGCUACAAAUCCUGUUCUUCACCUAAGAAAAGGGCUAUUUGUCAACAACAAACUUGACUUUUUUCUUUGGAGGAGUUUUGAAAUAUCAGUAACUUUUGUGCUCCUGCAAGACUACUAAGUUUGUGGAUCUGGGACAGAUCGUGAGUUUGCAGUGGACUCCCCAGAUACUGCACCUGACUGGUCCUGAUUACCUGACUAGUACUGUCUGCUGGCUACUCCUGGGAAUAUCUCAAGCUUCUGCCUGACCAGUAUGUACGUUCUCAGUCUGGCUCCAAGCAUAGCGUUCAUUCUGAGAAUCAUCAUGCUUUGAAAACAUGUGAUCGCCAGGUGUACUCCCAGGUAUCCAGGAUUGUUUUUCUCUUGCUCAUCAGGAACAUGGUAAGACUUUCCAUUUGGUCAGAUCUUAGAAUACUUAUUUUAGUUAACAUUUCAUCACCGAAAAAUAUUGUUCUCAAUAUAUUUAUUACUAAAUAUCUUUUGGGUUUUGUCACUAUCAAAAAGAGAUUUUCCUCCUAUUUUUUUUUUUAUUGGUAGUGAUUGCUUGAAUAGAGAAAGCUAUUGGGUGUUGUAUAUUUAUGUCAGGUUUUUCUACCUUAGCAAAGUCUUUUAUUUAUUUUGUUUUUGAAAAUUUUUUAUCUUAGAUUUUUUAUCCUUUAAUUAGGAUCAUUUCAUCUUUUCCAGUGCU
This 994-nucleotide long non-coding RNA is filed under the name Felis catus (domestic cat). Its description in RNAcentral is "lncRNA (ENSFCAG00000042638.2)". The record is from RNAcentral. Lineage: Eukaryota; Metazoa; Chordata; Mammalia; Carnivora; Felidae.